This 377-nucleotide ribosomal RNA is filed under the name uncultured Planctomycetota bacterium. Its description in RNAcentral is "bacterial SSU rRNA". It matches the Rfam family "Bacterial small subunit ribosomal RNA", at positions 521 to 896 of the family's 1533-position model. The record is from RNAcentral. Lineage: Bacteria; Pseudomonadati; Planctomycetota.
UAAGACGAACCGUACGAACGUUAUUCGGAAUUACUGGGCUUAAAGGGUGCGUAGGCUGCACGGAAAGUUGGGUGUGAAAGCCCUCAGCUCAACUGAGGAAUUGCAUCCAAAACUGCCGUGCUUGAGGGAGACAGAGGUGAGCGGAACUCAAGGUGGAGCGGUGAAAUGCGUUGAUAUCUUGAGGAACACCGGUGGCGAAGGCGGCUCACUGGGUCUCUUCUGACGCUGAGGCACGAAAGCUAAGGUAGCAAACGGGAUUAGAUACCCCGGUAGUCUUAGCUGUAAACGAUGAGCACUUGAUUGGAGGGUCCUCCAUAGCCUUCCAGUCGUAGCGAAAGUGUUAAGUGCUCCGCCUGGGGAGUAUGGUCGCAAGGCUG